This 496-nucleotide ribosomal RNA is filed under the name uncultured bacterium. Its description in RNAcentral is "partial 16S ribosomal RNA". It matches the Rfam family "Bacterial small subunit ribosomal RNA", at positions 28 to 506 of the family's 1533-position model. The record is from RNAcentral.
GAUGAACGCUGGCGGCGUGCCUAAUACAUGCAAGUCGAGCGAACGGACGAGAAGCUUGCUUCUCUGAUGUUAGCGGCGGACGGGUGAGUAACACGUGGAUAACCUACCUAUAAGACUGGGAUAACUUCGGGAAACCGUAGCUAAUACCGGAUAAUAUUUUGAACCGCAUGGUUCAAAAGUGAAAGACGGUCUUGCUGUCACUUAUAGAUGGAUCCGCGCUGCAUUAGCUAGUUGGUAAGGUAACGGCUUACCAAGGCAACGAUGCAUAGCCGACCUGAGAGGGUGAUCGGCCACACUGGAACUGAGACACGGUCCAGACUCCUACGGGAGGCAGCAGUAGGGAAUCUGCCGCAAUGGGCGAAAGCCUGACGGAGCAACUCCGCGUGAGUGAUGAAGGUCUUCGGAUCGUAAAACUCUGUUAUUAGGGAAGAACAUAUGUGUAAGUAACUGUGCACAUCUUGACGGUACCUAAUCAGAAAGCCACGGCUAACAACGU